Molecule: long non-coding RNA, 490 nt
Filed under: Equus caballus (horse)
Lineage: Eukaryota; Metazoa; Chordata; Mammalia; Perissodactyla; Equidae
Description: lncRNA (ENSECAG00000050132.1)
Source: RNAcentral
GCUACCAGAAAUGCAAAGACAGAUAAAACACGGCUCCAGCCCUUCAAAGGAAUUUUUCAUCUAGUUUUAGAGAAAUCGUAGAAAAAAAAGCUGGCCAUGUUGACGGGUAGUAUUUAAGAAUAAAGAGAAGUUCUUAGGUCGACUAUCUUUUUUUCUAUUUUCUCAAGAAAUAUUGUUGAUUGGUUGAAGUGGUCUGUCAAGAAAAGAAAAUGUGUUUGUGUUGACAAGAUAAUUAGGAAGGAAGGAGGAGCCCACUCUAUUUCUAAAUUGUAGCUAAAAUCUUUAAAUGGAGGAAAACAAAGUUUUUAAAGAUAUUCUCCCAGAUGAAAAGCCCUCAGCUUCACCUCAGCAUCCUGAACGACCAAUUGUCAAGGCCUCACUCAACUGAAAGGAAGACUGAACUGGAGGGGAUUCAAUACAAUUUUAUCUGGAUUGAUGUGAUCUGGGGGUCUUUUGCUUGUUUUGGGAAAGGUUUGCUUUUGGGUGUUUU